UACGUAGGGACCAAGCGUUGUUCGGAUUUACUGGGCGUAAAGCGCACGUAGGCGGCUUGGCAAGUCGGAUGUGAAAUCCCUCGGCUCAACCAAGGAAGUGCAUCCGAAACUGCUGAGCUUGAGUACUUAAGAGGAUCGCGGAAUUCCCGGUGUAGAGGUGAAAUUCGUAGAUAUCGGGAGGAACACCAGUGGCGAAGGCGGCGAUCUGGGUCGAUACUGACGCUGAGGUGCGAAAGCGUGGGGAGCAAACAGG
This 253-nucleotide ribosomal RNA is filed under the name uncultured bacterium. RNAcentral's name for it is "partial 16S ribosomal RNA". It matches the Rfam family "Bacterial small subunit ribosomal RNA", at positions 524 to 776 of the family's 1533-position model. The record is from RNAcentral.